RNAcentral lists this ribosomal RNA (157 nucleotides) under Hydnum rufescens. RNAcentral describes it as "5.8S ribosomal RNA". It matches the Rfam family "5.8S ribosomal RNA". From Rfam's summary of the family: 5.8S ribosomal RNA (5.8S rRNA) is a component of the large subunit of the eukaryotic ribosome. Lineage: Eukaryota; Fungi; Basidiomycota; Agaricomycetes; Cantharellales; Hydnaceae. RNAcentral also lists the same sequence under 1 other name. The record is from RNAcentral.
CAACUUUUAACAACGGAUCUCUUGGCUCUCGCAUCGAUGAAGAACGCAGCGAAAUGCGAUAAGUAAUGUGAAUUGCAGAAUUCAGUGAAUCAUCGAAUCUUUGAACGCACCUUGCGCUCUCUGGUAUUCCGGGGAGCACGCCUGUUCGAGUGUCAUU